Molecule: ribosomal RNA, 254 nt
Filed under: uncultured bacterium
Lineage: Bacteria
Description: partial 16S ribosomal RNA
Rfam family: Bacterial small subunit ribosomal RNA
Source: RNAcentral
UACGUAGGGAGCGAGCGUUGUCCGGAUUUAUUGGGCGUAAAGAGCUCGUAGGCGGCUUGGCAAGUCGGAUGUGAAAACUCCAGGCUCAACCUGGAGACGCCAUCCGAUACUGCUAUGGCUAGAGUCCGGUAGGGGACCACGGAAUACCUGGUGUAGCGGUGAAAUGCGCAGAUAUCGGGAGGAACACCAGAGGCGAAGGCGGCGACCUGGACAGACACUGACACUCAACUACGAAAGCGUGGGGAGCAAACAGG